Molecule: long non-coding RNA, 244 nt
Filed under: Oryza brachyantha (malo sina)
Lineage: Eukaryota; Viridiplantae; Streptophyta; Magnoliopsida; Poales; Poaceae
Description: long non-coding RNA (OBRA_LNC001594)
Source: RNAcentral
UCUGUAGCUUAGUGGUUACAAAGGUCUCAGUAGCACUUGAGGUCCUGGGUUUGAAACGAAUUUUCCAGGAUUCUAACGGCUUUGUGCUUUCAGUGGUAAGCGACGUACCCGUCGACAGCGAGGCGCCUGUGGUGACUUCGUCAAUCUCUCUAGGAUAUACCGACCAGGCUUCGGAGGUGCUCAUAGGGGUAGGGUUUGCGUGCGUGCGUUCUCAUCAAAAAAUAUGAAAAAAUUUGAUAAGAUA